Molecule: ribosomal RNA, 315 nt
Filed under: uncultured eukaryote
Lineage: Eukaryota
Description: partial 18S ribosomal RNA
Rfam family: Eukaryotic small subunit ribosomal RNA
Source: RNAcentral
CCCUUAGACGUUCUGGGCUGCACGCGCGCUACACUGACCAGUGCAACAAGCAUCCGUCCUUGGCCGACAGGCCCGGGCAAUCUUUGAACGCUGGUCGUGAUGGGGAUAGACUUUUGCAAUUUUUGGUCUUCAACGAGGAAUUCCUAGUAAACGCAAGUCAUCAACUUGCAUUGAUUACGUCCCUGCCCUUUGUACACACCGCCCGUCGCACCUACCGAUUGAAUGGUCCGGUGAAGCCUCCGGAUUGGCGCGCACCCCGGUGCCGCCGAGAAGUUGGCUAAACCUUACCAUUUAGAGGAAGGUGAAGUCGUAACA